ACGGGUGAGUAACGCGUAGGCAACCUGCCCCAUACAGAGGGAUAGCCUCGGGAAACCGGGAUUAAAACCUCAUAACGCGAGGGAUUCACAUGGACCUCUCGCCAAAGAUUUAUCGGUAUGGGAUGGGCCUGCGUCUGAUUAGCUAGUUGGUGGGGUAACGGCCUACCAAGGCGACGAUCAGUAGCCGACCUGAGAGGGUAAUCGGCCACAUUGGAACUGAGACACGGUCCAAACUCCUACGGGAGGCAGCAGUGGGGAAUAUUGCACAAUGGGCGAAAGCCUGAUGCAGCAACGCCGCGUGAGCGAUGAAGGCCUUUGGGUCGUGAAGCUCUGUCCUUGGGGAAGAAUAAAUGACGGUACCCUUGGAGGAAGCCCCGGCUAACUACGUGCCAGCAGCCGCGGUAAUACGUAGGGGGCAAGCGUUAUCCGGAAUUAUUGGGCGUAAAGAGUGCGUAGGUGGUUUUGUAAGCGCGGGGUGAAAGGCAAUGGCUCAACUAUUGUAAGCCCUGCGAACUGCAAGACUUGAGUGCAGGAGAGGAAAGUGGAAUUUUUAGU
Molecule: ribosomal RNA, 555 nt
Filed under: uncultured bacterium
Lineage: Bacteria
Description: bacterial SSU rRNA
Rfam family: Bacterial small subunit ribosomal RNA
Source: RNAcentral